RNAcentral lists this long non-coding RNA (779 nucleotides) under Erythranthe guttata (spotted monkey flower). RNAcentral describes it as "long non-coding RNA (EGUT_LNC002449)". The record is from RNAcentral. Lineage: Eukaryota; Viridiplantae; Streptophyta; Magnoliopsida; Lamiales; Phrymaceae.
UCGGGCCCUUGCACUUCUGCAUCUUCCGGAUCGGAGUUGAAUGCAUCGCCGGAGACUACUCUGAUUUCGGGGAGGAGAUCGGUCAGAGAUCUGACGGUGGUGGAUUUUCCGGUGCCUCUGUCUCCCAUUAUCAUUACACCGCCUAUCUUGGGGUCUAUCACGUUUAAGAGGAGGCACAGUUUCAUCUCGUCUUGCCCUACUAUAGCUGCGAACGGGUAAACGGGCCUUUGGUUCUCCUUGGAAGCCGCAAGCUUUUUGACCUGAAUAGUACGCCACAUAGGAUUUUGGGAGAAAGAUAACAUAAAAUUGGCGGGGAAAUAAUCGCUUAAAAUUGCAUUUGAGGCGGAAUUGUGCACAAGUGGAAGAAAUGUGAGUUCUAAAUGCAAUUGAGUAUCGAAACGAGGUUAGAAUUGACGAAAAUUAGUACCUGUUCUUGAGUAGGACUAAUGUCGGUGGCGACAUUGGUAAUAGAGAGGUGGAAUUGAGAACGCCCUUUCUUGAGGGGAACUCCGAUGCCUCCGUAGAAUUUCCUCCCUGAGCUCAGCCCUUCACCACCACCAUUAUUAAAAAAGAAAAAAAAUCAUCUUUAAGCACACAAAUCACCAUGCCCACACUUCCAAUUCUCAAUAAUUCCAUCCAAAAUUCAUGAAAUUAGAAGAUUAUAACUCAAUUAGACGACUAUGGAGGUGAAAUCAACUAAAAAAUUAACAGUAAAGCUGCAACAUUGUAAACUUAGGGUUUCUCAACAAGCAAAAUAAAAUAAAAUAAAACAGGGGGGG